GAGGGAUGUUUUCUUCUUGCUGUUCCAGGGAAUGUGCUGAGUUAACACCUUUUUUCUUUUUAUUGGAGCCGCUGUGGCAGGGAAGACAGUGGUGAGGGGCUUCCUUUGAGUAAAAAGCAGGUAAAUUCAGCCCCUGCUUGCUCCACUGUCUGCCCCUCCAGGGCCUCUGUGUCCUGAUGCAGAGUCCAGCCUGUUCUCACCAGGCUCGCAUUCCUUAUGCCAAGAGACCCACCAAAAAAGAAAGUCCCAAGAAACAGGAAGGAACACCACCAGCAAGAGACCUCACACUCACAGACCUCAGAGAUAUUCAUGGCCUGAGGGGCACAAAGGAGAGUGUGUUGGGAGCGGAUCCCCACUUAGAAAGAAGCAAGACAGUGCCCCAAGGCCUGGAAGAUGUCAGCUGCUUCCUCUGUGCUGUGCUGUGGGGAAGGCCAUCACCGUUUUAACGCCUCUUGAUGGAGUCUGACUGUGUCACCCAGGCUGGAGUGCAAAGGCAAAAUCUCGGCUCACUGCUACCUCUGGCUCCCUGGUUCAAGAGAUUCUUCUGCCUCAGCCUCCUGAGUAGCUGGGAUUACAGCCACCUGCCAUCAUGCCAACCUAAUUUUUCUACUUUUGUGGAGAUGGGGUUUCACUAUGUUGGCUAGGCUGGUAUGAAUUGCUGACACCAGGUGAUCUGCCCUCCUUGGCCUCCCAAGUGCUGGGAUUAUGGGCUGAGCCACCGCACCUGGACAAUAUUAACUUUUUUCUUUCAUUCUCCUGUACAUUUCUAAUUGGCAGUGAGAGUAGUGAAUGUUCUGACAAAGAGUGAUGAAAGGAUUUGGGAUAACCAUCAUUUUCCACAUGGAUUAUGAAGAUGGCUUUGCAGGACAUGGGGCUCCCCCCUGUAAUCUCAGCACUUUGGGAGCUCAAAUUGGGAGGAUGACUUGAGUACAGGCAUUCAAGACCAGCCUGGGCAACAGUGAGACCUCGUCUCUACAAAAGAUAAACAAAAUGAGCCAGGCAUGGUGGCACACACCUGCGUUUCCAGCAAAUUGGGAGGCUGACAUGGGAGGAUUGCUUCAGCCUGAGAGGCUGAGCCUGCAGUGAGCUGAGAUUGCACCACUGCACACCAGUCUUAGAAACAGAGUGAGGCCCUGUCUUUAAAAAGAAGAAACAAAAAAAAAAAAAAAGAAAAAGAAAAGAAAAGAUGGCUGUUCGUGUUUUAUCCUGCACAGGCAUUCUUUUUCUGAUCUGCACUGCAGUUCUGAGCCAGAGUCUCCCCCUUCAGCACCACCUGACAAUCCUCAGCCCUGGACAAUGUGAGAUUUUUUUGACCGAGGAUCACUGUGCUCCUUCAGGAUCCACCAGAAAGUGCUGGUUAGCCUGAUAGGCCCUGGUUUGACUUACAUCUAGCAAGACCUUCAUCUGGUUUGCAGGAGUAGAUAGGGGGUCACUUGGAUGACAGGGACUCCAGUCCAGACCCCAUUCUCCCUCAUUCCCUCCUGCAAAGUUCAAUCCUCACAGUCCUCUGAGGCUGUGGCAAGUGCAGAAACAGAACUGCGCCUAUCCAAAGUGCCUCCCUUCCCCUGGACUCAUGCCAAGGCUUCCUCCCUCUGACCUGUCCCUUGUCUUUGCAUCUAGGGUGGAUGCUUGCCACUGACCCUCUCUCCCCAGGUUUCCCUGCUAGACUGACUUUCUGCCCCUGGGAUUGGGUGGGGCAGCCAAUGGAACCUCAUGCAGACCAGGGUGAAAUCAAAGGGCCUUGGAAACUCACAGCCCCACAUCCAGGCCCCAGUCCUUUCAGAGUCUCAGAUCCAAGUCCCCAGUUUAUCAGGGAUGUGGCUCUGUGAAAGCCAGAGAACCCGGUCCCCAGGGCUGCUGCCAUCUCUCUCCUCCUCAUUUACUCUGGCCCCCAUCAGCUCCUCUGGGCCACUCCCUUUCUGGAGUCCCCCUGGCUCCAUCCGGCGGCAGUGAGUUCGCAGAUCUCCUGGACCCCAGGCUGCUACAGGCACCUCCCUCAACAUCCACUGUCUGCUCUCAGAGUGACCUUCUCCUCAUAUCUUUAUUGGAGGAAAAAAGAGGGGAAGCCCCUGGUCUUGGGGAAGAUAGUUAUAAAUGCAAUCUGGAAUAAAACCCCCUUGAGGACUAGAGGAGGCCAGCAGGGCCUGACCAGAGAUUUUUGACUGUUAGAAAUGCACAGAGGGCAAACACCACAGGAAAAGCGCUGACUCAGAAACAGACUCACUGCAUUCCAGGUGCAGCCUCCUCAGCUCUAAGGCUGGGCCAGCAGAGCCUGGGAAGGGAUGGCCCCCACACUGGGACCAUCCCAGGCUCUGCCAACAGCCUGGCACUUCUAGGAGAACCAGAGGAGUCGGCUCUUCCUGUGCAAGGUAGACAAGGUUCCCCUCCAUUGGUCCCGGUUGCCUCUUUAGGUCCAGAGCAGCAGCUGAGGAGCUCCCUGCUUUAUGCCUUGCUGUGGGCACUGAAAUAGCUCAGUAGAAUUUGGGGAGAAUGUAUGAGUCACUGCUGAUUCCAGGGAGAGUGUUUCUUAGCAUUGUUUGUGGCCAUACUCCUGGGUGCAGGAGAGAUUGGCUGACAUUUCCAGGAAGCAGAGGACUCAGCUUCUCUGACAGCUCAGGCUGGGGGAGGAAAAUUCAAGUUCAGAAAUACUUUAGAACCCCGAUGAAAAGCCUGGAGAAGCUUUGGAAUCCCAGUAGAAAUUCAGUGAGUGGAACUGAGGUUAAGCCAUCCCUUCAGAUGGACUCAAAAGGCUGCACUGACCUGGACAGCAGAGGAGCACCUUCAGAAGCACAGGCAACCAGAACAUGGUAGAAAGACCCCCCAAACUGCAGGAUUCUCGCUGGGGUCCUGAGGAUGGUGCAGGAUUUCCCCAAGGGGUUCAUUUCUCUCACAAAUUCUGCAGAUACACAGCUUCCACCAUUCAUGCUUCCAGAUCGAAAAGUCUCCCUCUUUAUGUCUGACCACACUGCUCCUCUCUGGGCUCUGCCCCAGCUCACACACUCAGAUUCACUCUUCCCAAGCUGGUAUUCUGAGGGAAGCCCAACACGUUUGUGAGUAAUGAUGCCUCACCUUCAAGUAGGAGCCAAGACUGUGUCUGCUCUCUCUGCCCUCAAAGACACUGUGAUGCUUUAAGGAUCUGCAUUAUCUCUUUUGUAAUUAUGUUUUUUUAAAAUUUUUAAACUCAAUCUAGAAGGAAGUCUUUCAAUCCUUUUGUCUAAAUGCCCACAAAAUACCUGCCAUGUUUUAUGUUGUCUAGCUUCCCUCCCAGGGUCCCAUGAAAACACUCAGUCCUGUCCAGCCCAGCCCCCACAUCACUUUGUAAUUUAGGCCUGAUUUCUUUCAGUGAAUCCUUGACCUUAACCUUGAGAUAAAUUACACCCUCAGUAGUUCCUGUUUUCCACCUGAAUGGGCAUAUGAUCUACCAUGUUAGGUAGCACAAAACCCAGGUGACAAGUGGAUACACCAAGAUUUUUAUUGUGUUUUUCAGGGAUGACAUCACUGUCUUCUUAAAGUUGUUUUAACUCUAAAACAUUUUGAUGCUUUUGAUGUGGCCAAAGGUUCUCUAAUAAAGAUACCACAUAUAUAUAUAUUUUUUUUUCUAAUGUCAGAAACAGCUUAAAUCCUUCCCUGUAUCACUAUGAAAGUCACAUAUUAGUCAAACUUUACCAGUGUUUAUGGAAUAAGUGAAUAAAUGAGUUUUAGACCUUCACCCUAUUAUUAAUUCUUUCACUUUUAUGAAUCUAUAUCUAAUUUAAUCACUUAAUAAGAAGAAAGUUGAAAACUCAAUCAGGGUUAACUGGAUGGAAGUUCAGGAUCUAGUUGGAUGUCAUUUUUGGAUUGGAAGUUGGUAAUUGAGAAGGGGGUCGUGGUGAGAAAGGUCAAUAAAAGCUCCUGAAGAUGCACAGAAGAGACCCAAAGCCCUGGCUCCUGGAGCUACUGCUUGAUUCUGGCAGAGGUCCCAGCACCCUGCAACGUGAGUCCAGAUCUGGCAAGUCACCACUUAUUAGGAUUGGGAAUGUGCCCAUUUGAUCUGAUCUUCUGUAUAGCACGUCAUACAAAAAAGUCUGGAAGACGCUAGCACAUACACUGUGAAGGGAAGUCACAGAUAAGGGGAAGAUUAUAGAAGACAUUUGCUCUGUGUUUUUGGAAUGUUUUGCAUUGAGAAUUCUGUCCAGAGAAGGGAAAAAGGAUGAAAAUCAAAUGAAGCUCACCCCCAUGUACCUCUAUGUACCUCUUACCAUGCUGGACUUUCUUUUGUUUUGUUUUCUUUUCUCUUUUUUUUUUUUCUGAUAUGGCAUCUAGCUCUGUUGCCCAGGCUGGAGUGCAGUGGCACGAUCUUCAAUCACUGCAACCUCCACAUCCUGGGUUCAAGCAAUUCUCCUCCCUCAGCCUCUCCAGUAGCUGGGACUACAGGUACAUGCCACCAUGCCUGGUUAAUUUUUUUUAUUAUACUUUAAGUUUUAGGGUACAUGUGUACAAUGUGCAGGUUACUUACAUAUGAAUACAUGUGCCAUGUUGGUGUGCUGCACCCAGUAACUCGCCAUUUAACAUUAGGUAUAUCUCCAAAUGAUAUCCCUCCCCCCUCCCCCC
This 4590-nucleotide long non-coding RNA is filed under the name Homo sapiens (human). Its description in RNAcentral is "HSALNT0001869". The record is from RNAcentral. Lineage: Eukaryota; Metazoa; Chordata; Mammalia; Primates; Hominidae.